This 2058-nucleotide long non-coding RNA is filed under the name Amborella trichopoda. Its description in RNAcentral is "long non-coding RNA (ATRI_LNC000459)". Lineage: Eukaryota; Viridiplantae; Streptophyta; Magnoliopsida; Amborellales; Amborellaceae. The record is from RNAcentral.
UCCAACUCCAUGACUCACAAUGUUGCGAUUGUCUUACCAGCUUUGGGAAGCACUAAUUUCCUUUCGAUCUCCAUGCAUUUCAUCCCCAAGCAGCCUUGCUUCUUAGAUUAUAUGAAUGUCCAACCAUGAAAGAGAAAGGUCGAGAGAGGUAUACCUUUGACAAUCAAUAUAAAUCCAUAACAAGCCAAAUAAUUCAAUUUUAAUUUCAUCAUCACAAUAAUCACCCAAGCCUUAUCAUAACAAGCCAAAAUAAUUCAAUUUUAAUUUCAUCAUCACAAUAAUCACCCAAGCCUUAUCCCAACUAUUUAGGAUCGGCUAAAGGAAUCAUAUUUCACCAUUUUGUUCAUAAGAGCCACACCCUCAGUCAGAUAAUAACUAUCUCUUCUAAAAGAGACACUUACUUACCGGAGGACGCAGAUUCAUCUACUAUUUACUUAUCAAAAGGAAAGAGAUAUUCACUUAUUGAAGGGAGAGUUACUUCCGUCUAUGUCCUUUUACUCAUUUCUUUUUUCCUUUUAAGGCCUUCCAUUUGAAACAAAUUACCCCUUAUAACCAGUGUUGUUUUAGGUCGACACUGCACCUAGCCUGCCUACUUAAGUCUACUUCUUCUCAUCGUAUCGCCUAUUAGAGCUAACCCUAAGUUCUCUCGAAUGUAUUCAUUCUAAAUUUUAUCUUUUUUUUCUUGCUGCUCAUGCACCUCAAUUGCACUCAUUCUAUGGAUAUGUUGUUUGUUGACUGCUCAACUUUCGAUUCUAUAAAGCAUGGUUGAUGAAUUCAUUUCAGAUAAUUCUAUAUAUCAUAGGUUUUCAGUUCACAAUUUUGGAAGCCUUAUUAAAUUAUGGUCUUUAAUCAACAUUCUCCAUGAAUCACGAUGCCACAAAACUAUACCGGCUAGAGCUAGCACGUGUAUUAUUAUUGAACUUCAACCACUUAUUAUUAAGCUUCAAAUUCCACUUUCAUGUCUAAACUCUUUCUUACUCUAUCAUGAAGCUCUUUCUUACUCUAUCAUGAGCUUUCCUUUUCCUUCUGGUGUUAGGGGUAGUGUUGAAAUUUGUUUGAUGGUUUAAAAAUGGGUUAUAAGAGUAGGAAACAUGUAGCGUAUAUAUGCAAACAUUAGGCCUAUAUCCAUGAUCGAUCUUGAACUACGUUGAUUGAGAGGACUAGUAUGCAACUUGAUUAUCCUGCUUUUAGUGCCCGAGCUGUUCUAGUUAUUCUAAUAAAUUUUGCUUUAUUUUUCCAUAAUUGAGUGCUUGAUUGUUUCUAUGAAGGUUAUGAGAGGAAGCAUUCUAGCCGUCUCUUGCUAGGGAAGCCUUUAGGACCCAAAUACCAUUGAAACAAAAAGGGGUAGGGAUUUGAGCCCCUAUCCUUUUGGUGAGAAAGGAGCAAGAGAUUUCAUUAUAAGGCUCUUUGGUACUACCGCCAACUCUCUUUCUCAAAAAAGUAAUAGGGCAGUGGGGAUUUGGGCCUUACCUUUCGAUGAAAAUAGAGUCAAAGACCACUAUGGGGCUCAACAAUACUACGGCUAAGGUCCCAUGCCAUUCUCGAAGCAUGAUAAUGAAAGGGUUGAUAAAUCUAUUAUGGUAUGGCAUGUGUGAUUUGAUAAACAACAACUCAUUAGAUGGUUGGAUAGCACCAAAGAAAUAUGUUGGCUGUGGUUCUUGUAUCAAUCCAUUUCACCAUGGGUGUAAGAGAGUCACAUCUACUGGCCAUUAGGUCAACAAGUAUAUUAGAUGACACUGUUAAUUCUCAUCAAUACUAAUCCAUGUCGGUGACGUGGCAUGUUGUGCAUUGUAAUUCACAGUGUCCUACUUGCAUCGUAAAAAUAAUUUUGGGUAAUUCUAAUGCAAGAAAGAUUAUGUGCGAGUAUAAUUUGAAGUUAAACUCUCUAUUAUCAUUUUAGCUUAUAUAUAUAUAUAUAUAUAUAUAUGGGAAACGGUUUUUUUAGCUACUAGCUAUAAUGAAUAGUAUAAGCUACUGAUGUAGGGAGAAAAUAAUUAAAGUAAAAACAAAAACAAGUGUGAGAGAAUUUACACUUUCUCAAGGUCCACAAGGGCAUCC